GAUGAACGCUGGCGGCGUGCCUAAUACAUGCAAGUCGAGCGAACAGACGAGGAGCUUGCUCCUCUGACGUUAGCGGCGGACGGGUGAGUAACACGUGGAUAACCUACCUAUAAGACUGGGAUAACUUCGGGAAACCGGAGCUAAUACCGGAUAACAUGUUGAACCGCAUGGUUCAACAGUGAAAGACGGUCUUGCUGUCACUUAUAGAUGGAUCCGCGCCGCAUUAGCUAGUUGGUAAGGUAACGGCUUACCAAGGCAGCGAUGCGUAGCCGACCUGAGAGGGUGAUCGGCCACACUGGAACUGAGGCACGGUCCAGACUCCUACGGGAGGCAGCAGUAGGGAAUCUUCCGCAAUGGGCGAAAGCCUGACGGAGCAACGCCGCGUGAGUGAAGAAGGUCUUCGGAUCGUAAAACUCUGUUAUUAGGGAAGAACAAAUGUGUAAGUAACUAUGCACGUCUUGACGGUACCUAAUCAGAAAGCCACGGCUAACUACGUG
This 497-nucleotide ribosomal RNA is filed under the name uncultured bacterium. RNAcentral describes it as "partial 16S ribosomal RNA". It matches the Rfam family "Bacterial small subunit ribosomal RNA", at positions 28 to 507 of the family's 1533-position model. The record is from RNAcentral.